This 631-nucleotide ribosomal RNA is filed under the name uncultured marine eukaryote. RNAcentral's name for it is "SSU rRNA". It matches the Rfam family "Eukaryotic small subunit ribosomal RNA", at positions 618 to 1262 of the family's 1831-position model. The record is from RNAcentral.
GUUAAAAAGCUCGUAGUCGGAUUUCAGUAUUAGGCCCUUCUUCCAAUACGGUUGCUAGUGGUCUUUACUUCCUUAACAGAAUCUUUCAUCUCAUUAAUUUGGGGUGUUUGGGGCCUGUUUCUUUUACUUUGAGAAAAUUAGAGUGUUCAAAGCGGGUUUUCGCCUGGAUAUUACUCUUGGAAUAAUAAUAUAGGACUUUGGUUCUUUUUUGUUGGUGACUUAGAACCGAAGUAAUGAUUGAUAGGGACAGUUGGGGUCAUUCGUACUAUGAAGCGAGAGGUGAAAUUCAUGGACCUUUGUAUGACGAACUACUGCGAAAGCAUUUGACUAGGAUGUUCCCGUUGAUCAAGAACGAAAGUUGGGGGAUCGAAGACGAUCAGAUACCGUCGUAGUCUCAACCAUAAACUAUGCCAGCUAGGGAUUGGAGGAAGAUCAUUUUACGUCUCCUUCAGCACCUUAUGAGAAAUCAAAGCAUUUGGGUUCCGGGGGGAGUAUGGUCGCAAGGCUGAAACUUAAAGGAAUUGACGGGAGGGCACCACCAGGAGUGGAGCCUGCGGCUUAAUUUGAUUCAACACGGGAAAACUUACCAGGUCCGGACAUGGGAAGGAUUGACAGAUUGAAAGCUCUUUCU